UACGUAGGAGGCAAGCGUUGUCCGGAAUUACUGGGCGUAAAGCGCGUGUAGGUGGUGGGACAAGUCUGCUGUGAAAGCGCCUGGCUUAACCGGGCGAGGUCGGCGGAAACUGUUCACUGGAGGACGGUAGAGGGGGUGGAAUUCCCGGUGUAGUGGUGAAAUGCGCAGAUAUCAGGAGGAACACCGGUGGCGAAGGCGGAUCUCUGGGCCGUAACUGACGCUGAGGAGCGAAAGCAUGGGGAGCGAACAGG
Molecule: ribosomal RNA, 251 nt
Filed under: uncultured bacterium
Lineage: Bacteria
Description: partial 16S ribosomal RNA
Rfam family: Bacterial small subunit ribosomal RNA
Source: RNAcentral